UCCCACCAAAGCCUUUUCCUCCACCACUUCCAGUCUACAAGAAGCCACUCCCACCUCCAGUUCCAAUCUACAAGCCAGAGCCAAAACCACCAGUCUUCAAGCCUCCUCCGGUCCCAAUCUACAAGAAGCCACUCCCACCUCCAGUUCCAAUCUACAAGCCAGAGCCAAAACCACCAGUCUUCAAGCCUCCUCCGGUCCCAAUCUACAAGCCAAAACCACCAGUCUUCAAGCCUCCUCCGAUCCCAAUCUACAAGAAGCCACUCCCACCUCCAGUUCCAAUCUACAAGCCAGAGCCAAAACCACCAGUCUUCAAGCCUCCUCCGGUCCCAAUCUACAAGAAGCCACUCCCACCUCCAGUUCCAAUCUACAAGCCAGAGCCAAAACCACCAGUUUUCAAGCCUCCUCCGGUCCCAAUCUACAAGCCAAAACCACCAGUCUUCAAGCCUCCUCCGGUCCCAAUCUAUAAGAAGCCACUCCCACCUCCAGUUCCAAUCUACAAGCCAGAGCCAAAACCACCAGUUUUCAAGCCUCCUCCGGUCCCAAUCUACAAGCCAAAACCACCAGUCUUCAAACCCCCUCCUGUUCCAGUCUACAAACCAAAGCCAAAACCACCAAUCUACAAGCCUCUCCCACCUCCUGUUCCCAUCUCCAAGCCUCUCCCUCCAAUCCCAAAGAUCCCUCCAUUUUAUAAGAAGCCAUUGCCCC
Molecule: long non-coding RNA, 705 nt
Filed under: Populus trichocarpa (black cottonwood)
Lineage: Eukaryota; Viridiplantae; Streptophyta; Magnoliopsida; Malpighiales; Salicaceae
Description: long non-coding RNA (PTRI_LNC001288)
Source: RNAcentral